This 460-nucleotide ribosomal RNA is filed under the name uncultured bacterium. RNAcentral's name for it is "partial 16S ribosomal RNA". It matches the Rfam family "Bacterial small subunit ribosomal RNA", at positions 338 to 795 of the family's 1533-position model. The record is from RNAcentral.
CCUACGGGCGGCAGCAGUGAGGAAUAUUGGUCAAUGGGCGAGAGCCUGAACCAGCCAAGUCGCGUGAAGGAUGACGGCCCUACGGGUUGUAAACUUCUUUUGUCAGGGAGCAAUUGGGUCCACGCGUGGGCUUAGCGAGAGUACCUGAAGAAAAAGCAUCGGCUAACUCGGUGCCAGCAGCCGCGGUAAUACGGAGGAUGCGAGCGUUAUCCGGAUUUAUUGGGUUAAAGGGGUGCGUAGGCGGAAUAUCAAGUCAGCGGUAAAAAUUCGGGGCUCAACCCCGUCGUGCCGUUGAAACUGAUGGUCUUGAGUGGGCGAGAGGUAUGCGGAAUGCGUGGUGUAGCGGUGAAAUGCAUAGAUAUCACGCAGAACUCCGAUUGCGAAGGCAGCAUACCGGCGCCCAACUGACGCUGAAGCACGAAAGCGUGGGUAUCGAACAGGAUUAGAUACCCCAGUAGUC